AACGAACGCUGGCGGCGCGCCUAAUACAUGCAAGUCGAGCGAGAAGACGUAGCAAUACGUUUGUAAAGCGGCGAACGGGUGAGGAAUGCAUGGGUAACCUACCCUCGAGUGGGGAAUAACUAGCCGAAAGGUUAGCUAAUACCGCGUACGCUCCUUGGACUUCGGUUCAGGGAGGAAAGCGAUACCGUGGGUAUCGCGCUCUUGGAUGGGCUCAUGUCCUAUCAGCUUGUUGGUGAGGUAACGG
Molecule: ribosomal RNA, 244 nt
Filed under: uncultured bacterium
Lineage: Bacteria
Description: partial 16S ribosomal RNA
Rfam family: Bacterial small subunit ribosomal RNA
Source: RNAcentral